UACAAAGAAAUCACCUGCCCUGAAUUACUCACGUCCUGUGCUGUUGUCGCACAUUUCCCGAUAUACUGCAUCCCUGGCCCUUGAGACCUGUCUGCACUUGGUAUCCAAAGGGCCCCCUCAAGACCCGGAUCUUAUCCUCUGUGUCUGCUGCGGAAAUCCAGGGUAUGAAACCUGCUGGCACCUGACUUCCGAGGCCAGCCUUUCCUAUUCCAGAGGAAGCAGAACGGAAGCUCGGAACUGCCAGCUGUCUGAUGUUUACUGGGCAAUAGACCCCCUCCUUUCCCGCCGUUUUUUUUUUUACAGUUCACCUAUCCUACUCAUGUGCAGUCGAAUGCCUCUCCCGUAUGCUGUACUUGCCAACUCCAUCUCCAGUAAUUAUGCUGUUUUAGUCCACUGCAAUGUACCUGCCAACAAUCUGAAAUGUGCAGGUGGUGGCGCAGCGUCGUCUGCCUCGCUCUCUCCCCGUUUUGCGUGCACCCUGCCGUGGCAACCUAAUAUGACGGCUGUGACACGGCACGCGCGGAAGACAAUGACGGCCAGGGCUGCACCAGUGCCCUUGCCACUUACCUGCCAGAGAAUGUUCGUUUCUUUCCUGCCCUCUUUUUCUUUUCUUCUUUUCAUGUUUCUGUUCCCGUCUUUUCCUCCAGGAAAGGCAAGGAGACCAUUUCCCCCGGGACCAACCCAUCUGCUCCUGGGGAAGGUCAGGACACAUGUCCUGCUUCAAAUGAACCACAUGCCUUCCAAAUGGAAAGAGGCAGAAGGCUACCUUCCCACGACUUCCAGAAGGGGUUCUGGAGAACAGGUGAUGAACCUCAGUCCAGUCUGCCCAGGAUGUGACUCACACCUCAGUCCAAGUGCCAACACUGUACGUACCAUUAGUCACCUAGUAAUCACUUAGUGGAGGGAGACCACAUGCCGUAACUUUUGU
This 928-nucleotide long non-coding RNA is filed under the name Fukomys damarensis (Damara mole-rat). RNAcentral's name for it is "lncRNA (ENSFDAG00000029142.1)". The record is from RNAcentral. Lineage: Eukaryota; Metazoa; Chordata; Mammalia; Rodentia; Bathyergidae.